Lutra lutra (Eurasian river otter) is the source of this 2060-nucleotide long non-coding RNA. RefSeq lists it as uncharacterized. Lineage: Eukaryota; Metazoa; Chordata; Mammalia; Carnivora; Mustelidae. The record is from RefSeq and is a predicted model, not a curated record. The transcript is spliced from 5 exons.
GUCCCCAUCCAUGGUGGGAGUGGAGCACCUCCCCCCACUCCCCCCAAAACGUCUAGGCAUGGCUGCUUGGCAGGGGACCACGUCUUCCAGCUAACACUUCAAUACUACCUGAAGUUUAUACAAGGCCCCCACAGCUACACUGUCCUGGUCCCUCCAGUAAUGGAUGGAAAAUCAGCGAUUUCCUGACAGUUAGCAACCAAUUUUCCACCAAUUAGAAGAGAGAUGGUGGUCUCUGGAGGCAGCUGGAUGGCGGCGUUGCACGGAACUGGAAGGAAGAGAGAUGAUCCUCGAAGCACCAGGGUCCUGAAACAGAACUGCUCCAUAAGGGCCACAGGCCUUCAGCAUCCACCACCGCCCGAGUGUGGGGGAGGACUCCGUGGCAGGAACAGCAAGCUCUGUACAUGGUGGGCGCAUGGGACACACGGCUCGCCUCUGUUCCCGGGCCACAGCUCAGGGACAAAAGGAGAACCCAGCCACCCUGAGGCUGCUUUCCAGAAGUUCCUGUGGGAGGAGGCAGGUGUUACAGUCCAGAGCUGCUGAUCUGGCAACUCAAAGGGUCCCUGGAUGUCAAGCUCUGGAAUUGAGAGGGAGCUUUCUCGUCUCCAUACUGGGAGUGACUCCAGAUGCUGCUUCUGACCCGCGGACUCAGAUCUGGACAGGAAAUUCCAAGGGUUUUGAGAGCUGUGGAUGAAGACCAAAAUUGCAAGAGGAAUAUCUUUUGGCCAUCUGAAGGACCGGAUACAGACUUCCUACAGAUCACAAUAUCGCGUUCCCCGUUCCCCAACACUACGCAUUGCUGAGGCCUCCCCUCCCGGUCUCUCCUAUCUGCCGUGCCCUGAUCCUCCAGCACCCGGACCUGGAGGCCCCAUCCCAUCCUCCUCCGGGCUCCUGCGGUGGUUUAUCACUGUCCCUUGGGAUGGUUCCUGAAUUCAGCUGGAGCUCCCCAAGGAGAGGGGUCAAUUUUGAGUCAGUCCUGUGCCUCUCACGGCGAAAGAGACUUGUCUCCCUUCCCAGUUCCUAUUUUCCAGGGCCUAUAUUUUUUAUGAUUUCUUCUCCUACGCCACCGCCCCCUUGCCUGCUGCUAGGCCUUAUGACGCCUGUGUGUGCCUUAGAAAAAAAUGCUGCUUCUUCUAGCAAGACGCAGCUGCACGCCAAGAUGCCUGUCUUGUGAGCGGAGGACGAGCUGGAUCUUGGCUCCAGCUUGCCCCUUGGCCAGGCACCAUGGUCCACAGCACACCCAUAAUGUCCUGUGCAUCGUUCCCAACCCCCACCAAGAUGCGGGUGGGUGUGUUCAGGAGAAAUACCUUCAGCUCAGUCACACUAGCAUCAAAAGCUCACGGGCGGACCCUCCGCCAGCGGACUGCUUCCCCUAAAAAGAAAUGAGAGUGGGAAAACUGACACAGUCAUGGGAAUUGGGGCUGUUCUGCAGGUAGAAGGCACAUGAGUCAGGGACUUUCCAGUCCUAGCGGUCACUUCAGUGAUGCUGGUCAUGGACAGGGCUGGGCUGGUCUCCCUUCCCGACCUCUGCACAUCUGCACACAGAAGGGCACACACACACACACACACCCGUGCUCACUGCUGUAAUCAUUCACGGAAAUGGGCUCCAGGAGAUGAGCCUCAGGCAAGCUCGCCUGCCAGAGAGAGUGUGGUCUUCAACCAAUACUCAAGGGUGACAGAAGUCCCACUGGACCCUACCGUGGUCAGAGGCACCAGGGAUUCCCUCUGGGACAUUCGUUGCUCAGACCAAGGCAGCGUAUUCAUGCCAUGAUGAAAAGCCUGGGUCUGGGAGAAAGCAGCUUGGAGAAGAGCAGGCUCUGGGUAGACCUGGAUGUCCCCACCUUACCCAAGCUCUCUGGGCUCUCAUGGGAUGAGGGAGCAGAUACACUCUGGGGGCCCAGAUAGAACUAGGACCACCUGGGGUCAGACCUGCGUUCAGCAUGAACUUCCCUGGGCACCUGGGAGCCUCAGUUGGUUAAGAGUUGACCUCGGCUCAGGUCAUGAUCCGAGGGUCCUGGGAUCGAGUCCGGCAUUGGGCUCCCUGCUCAGUGGGCCGUCCUCUU